This 396-nucleotide ribosomal RNA is filed under the name uncultured bacterium. Its description in RNAcentral is "bacterial SSU rRNA". It matches the Rfam family "Bacterial small subunit ribosomal RNA", at positions 28 to 419 of the family's 1533-position model. The record is from RNAcentral.
GACGAACGCUGGCGGCGUGCCUAACACAUGUAAGUCGCACGGGACUGGAGGGCAACUUCCAGUUCAGUGGCAGACGGGUGCGUAACACGUGAGGAACUUGUCCAACGGCGGGGGAUAGCCGGCCCAACGGCCGGGUAAUACCGCAUACGAUCGUUCGGGGGCAUCCCUGAACGAGGAAAGCAGCCGCAAGGUUGCGCCGAUGGAGAGUCUCGCGGCCUAUCAGCUAGUUGCGGGGAAUGGCCCACCAAGGCGACGACGGGUAGCUGGUCUGAGAGGAUGGCCAGCCACAUUGGGACUGAGACACGGCCCAGACUCCUACGGGAGGCAGCAGUGGGGAAUCUUGGACAAUGGGCGCAAGCCUGAUCCAGCCAUGCCGCGUGGGUGAAGAAGGCCUGG